GGAAACAUUUUAAAUAAAAACAUUGAAUCUUUCUAAUAAGAAACAUCUAGGAUCAGUUUCCCUGCACCUGGAUUAAAGCUACACCCGGAUUAAAGCUACACCCUGAUUACACCUGGAUUAAAAACAAAUCACGAUUUACUCAAAAAGUUAAAUGUUACCUAGUAGGUGUGUGAGAGCAGUGUACAGUCUUCCCUAGUGGGUGUGUGAGAGCAGUGUACAGGUGUGUGAGAGCAGUGUUCAGAUCUUCUCUAGUGGGUGUGAGAGCAGUGUUCAGAUCUUCCUAGUGGGUGUGUGAGAGCAGUGUUCAGGUCUUCCCCAGUGGGUGUGUGAGAGCAGUGUUCAGAUCUUCCCUAGUGGGUGUGUGAGAGCAGUGUUCAGGUCUUCCCUAGUGGGUGUGUGAGAGCAGUGUACAGGUCUUCCCUAGUGGGUGUGUGAGAGCAGUGUACAGGUCUUCCCUAGUGGGUGUGAGAGAGCAGUGUACAGGUCUUCCCUAGUGGGUGUGAGAGCAGUGUUCGGGUCUUCCCUAGUGGGUGUGUGAGAGCAGUGUUCAGGUCUUCCCUAGUGGGUGUGAGAGCAGUGUUCAGGUCUUCCCUAGUGGGUGUGAGAGCAGUGUUCAGGUCUUCCCUAGUGGGUGUGAGAGCAGUGUUCAGGUCUUCCCUAGUGGGUGUGAGAGCAGUGUUCAGGUCUUCCCUAGUGGGUGUGAGAGCAGUGUUCAGGUCUUCCCUAGUGGGUGUGAGAGCAGUGUUCAGGUCUUCCCUAGUGGGUGUGAGAGCAGUGUUCAGGUCUUCCCUAGUGGGUGUGAGAGCAGUGUUCAGGUCUUCCCUAGUGGGUGUGAGAGCAGUGUACAGGUCUUACCU
Long non-coding RNA from Oncorhynchus keta (chum salmon), 857 nucleotides. RefSeq lists it as uncharacterized. The record is from RefSeq and is a predicted model, not a curated record. Lineage: Eukaryota; Metazoa; Chordata; Actinopteri; Salmoniformes; Salmonidae. The transcript has 3 exons.